Long non-coding RNA from Apodemus sylvaticus (European woodmouse), 5021 nucleotides. RefSeq lists it as uncharacterized. The record is from RefSeq and is a predicted model, not a curated record. NCBI's taxonomy places the organism in Eukaryota, Metazoa, Chordata, Mammalia, Rodentia, Muridae. The transcript has 3 exons.
CAAAAGGCAGAGAGAGAAGCCCCCAGAGGAGGCCCAAGGAGGAUUUAUCAACUGCUGCCCGGAGCCAGAGGAACGAGGGAGUUUGACAGCUGCAAGUGGUUCUAAGGCGUACAGGCGUGAUACAACACAGAUGGAGAGGAGCAGACAACGCUGUCGUGUGCACAGAAGACAUCACACCACGUUGCACGGUUUCAGAAAUCUUGGAAGACCUCAGGAUGUAAAUCCAUCCAUCAAGCUGUGACCCGAAGCUGACCUUUGCAGAGAAUAGCCCAGCCUAAGAAGCAUUUCUGGCCGAGACACCUCACCAAGGAGUUUUGUCAAUGUUGGCCGGCCCAGGCCCAGCAACAACCACAACACAGCCAGUGUCUUAUCUCCUGCCCACCUCUUCCCCAGGAGCCAGAAGCAAGGAGAAGGAGAUACAGAUCUCUUUACCAGGAUUCCUGGUCAUUCCUCCUGACCCCAUCCAUGUCUGCAGAGCCAUGGGUGCCUGCCCAUCUCUGCCGUUCAUUAGUAAAUAGGACUCUCCCUGUCUUCACUUUUUAAAAGAUUUCACAUUCGGCCAUAUUGGAGGAGGGGCUUGCAGAACCAUCCCAGGGAAGCCAGCUAAUGCUAGAGAAGGCAGAGAAGGGAAAGUCAUUGUUGUCAACUAUACAGUCACUGGUGUGCUGUGUUUCAGGAUAGCUCCACACCCACGCCUAGGAGAGUAGCCCUGGUUAAGUCAAAUGGGGCCCACAAAGCAAAAGCAAAACAGAAAGACCCUGAUAGGUUAGGUCUUGGGUAGGGAUGAGGACUUGGUGGAAGGAAGCUAAAGGUGGAGAGGGGAGUGAAAUAAGGGGAAGGGGGUUAUGUAUGUGUGAGUAAGAUCAGACUGUGUGUGAUAUACAUCUAUGAAUUGUUGAAAGAUAAACUAAGAUUUUAAAAUGCCCUUUCAAGCUAGCAUUUCAAGAAAGGCACUGUGAGCUCCUGUAGAGUAGACUUCUACCCGGGACUGCCAAGUCUGGGUAACAUGGCAUAGCAGUGUGAGGAAAAAGAGGCUCAGGGCCUGAGCAGAGGGCUCACUAGACAGCUUCUCGCUGGCUCGGGGACAUGCCCAUCUCCGUGGGGCUUCCUUUUUUUGGAGACCACACAGGUUGCCAGUUGUGACAUCGCCCCAGUGCCAUGGAACAGGGAGCGGGGAUGGGCAGGCAUGUUGGGGCAAACAGUGAUGGAGGAUGGUUGAUAAAAUGACUAUUAGGCUUUAAGUUAAUGAAUCACAACUGCAAGAAAUCAUGAUAAUCCAGCAGGCAUUAGUGACAGAUUAGCUUCAAAGCCACCAUGAAAGUACCACAGUGCCUACCCAACGGCACGAUUAAUUCUCCCAGUGUAUAAUGGCUUGAUGGGGAACCAGGCACUAACAGAGUCUUGAAGGAAAGCCAUGAAGAAAUCCCAGGGCGCCAGGGGCACCAUUACCCUGCCUGGCCCACAUGGUUUCCACUCUGCUUGGAAACAGCUACACCCACCCAGACUCUGGGACAAGUGGCAGCAGAUCUGACUAGCCUCGGAGCCUGCUCGCUUGCUCCCUCCCAGGAGGCAACGGAUCCCAGGCCCUAGGAAGUUGAGUCACCAAUAAAACACCUCAUACAGCGAGUGCCCGCGCGCGCUGGCGAUUGAAGAGCCCGGUCCCAGUCACCUGACUGAAGGUUUAUUGUGAAGAGACCUAGAAAGAGUCUUGAGCCAGGAAACUCUACACCACCUUUGUGAGGUGAAGGCAGUCCAUGCAUGCCUACACCACCAGCUGCUCUCCCUACAAGGAUGCAAAUAUGUAUCUGUCACCAAGCUGUGCCCCCAGGGACAAUGCGCAUCUCUAUGCAUACUUCUGCAUUUGCCACUCUGGCUCUCUGCCCUUUAAAGAUAGGAAAAGGGAAGUAAGCGGCCUACAGACAGGCUAGUGCUGUGUAGACCAGGCCUACACACCCCUGUCUCUCCACUUCUCUAUUCAGCUCCCUUCAGCACUGUACCUCCUGCCUCACCUCACCAGAGAGGCUAGAUUGGGAUUCACUGAACACCACUUUCCCUGAGGAAGAUAAUACCUCAGUCUUGCUUCCUCGGCCUCCUGCUCCUGCCCCACAGCAGCAGACAAAACAGUAACGCAGAGGCAAGAGACCCAGCCUCCCUGCCUCUCACCACCAUACAGAGGACCCGUUCCCAUGGUCUAGCCUAGGGCACUUAACCUCACCUGCUUUCUGUCUCGCCUUUUGGUUGGGACAGAAGGAAUGUUGGAGGCAAUGCCAGCUUGAAUGCUGAACCCCUGAGAACUGAGCAUCCUGACCCCUUGAGAUCCCUCCCCAUCAGUCUUUCCAUGACCUUCACUAGCCAAAGCCUCUUUGCAAAGGGUGCCCAAACUCCAUUCCAAAGGAAGGAAACCCCGUCCGUGGCCUGCUCGGCUUCCCAUAAAUAUGGAGGCAAUUAACAGAAAGCCCAAGCCCAAGAGGAAUUCUUAGAGUCGUGUUCAUCUUCAUAAUGAUGAAGAAAACCCCUCAGGGGGCCUGAGUCACUGCUGAGGUAGUAGGCUGUUACUGAUCUGAUUAACUAGAACUCCCACAGAAACAUGCAGACCCCUCCCAAGCAGCCUUCCUCCCAACCUACACCACUCCAAGGGCUUCUGCCAUGGAGGUCCCCUGCCAGGCUAUCACUGGGCAUCAAAGAAGUCUUGGUCUUCUGUCAAAGCAUCAAUGGACUCCAAAUUUUCCAGACCUCUAUACUCAUUCUGAAUUCCUGAACCCAAGGCCAAUCACCAUUUCAUCAGUGAAGAGUGCCUUCUGCUGAGCAUCAUGGGAAAAGUGAAAGGGAUCUUUCAUCCCCGUGAAGCACUGGGUCCCUACAUGCCAUGAUCCAACAUCUGGCUGCAGCGUUGCAUGCUCUAAAUGGGUCUUCAGCUGGUGACUUCUUUUGUUAUGGCCCAGGCAUCUCUUGAAGCCCCAUUCUCUUGAGUUGACAACCCUAUGUGUGUCAAGGAGACCUUGACACAUUUAGUUACAAAGCCAUAAAAAAUGUCAGGAUUGGGACAGGCUUCCCAGCCAUGUCUCCCACCCUUCCCUAAACCUUGUCCCAUCUGCCUUCAGCUCCUCUUGAGGCAAAUAUAUAGCUUCUAUUUCAACAUGCUGUGCCCAGCGAAAGCUCAAUAAAUGUUUAUUGAUGGUGGUACCCAUGAUACAUUAACAGCCAAAGCUAUAAAAUUAAAGUUUCACACAAGGAGAGACCCCGGUGAGAAAGAAACUGCUGCAUAAAGUUGAAGAUUUCUCAAAGUGGCAAGUGCUCACAAAUAUAUGCAUACUGUGUCAAACUGAAGACUACAGUUCUCUACCCAGCCCACGCAGAGCCUCAGGAAACACCCUCCUGAGGAUACUCCUGCUUUAUGGGUGUCGUGUUCGGCUUCUCUGAGACCCACCAUCUCAGUCUGUCAGGCUCCAGAACACUCUAUCUUUGUUUCCUAGAAGGAACAGGGGCCAACAAAAUUCUUACCAUGGUGGAAACUGAGGGGCUAAGACAAGGUCCAACCACUGCUGGCUGCCCUGUUGCCUGAUCUCUGUAGGUUUAUGACCAAAACUAUGCAUGGAAAGAAAUCUUUUCUCUUUAUAUGUUGAUUGUCUGGAUAUUUGUUACAGUAACAGAAAGCCAACUUUCUGACACAAUGACUUACAUUUUGAAGCAAAAGCCAGGAAGUGUCCCCAUAAAAAAUGAAUGGAGAUACAAGAAGCCUAAGGCCUUGUGAACGCCAACAAGUGAUUACCAGUCAUCAGACAGUCCCUGCCUACCCCAAUGUGUUUAUAGAUAUGAAUUGCAGGUGUAAGAGACUCCAUAGUCCUGUUUUAGAACUGCUAGCAUUUCUGCUUAUCAGGACAACCCAAGAGUAGCAUUAAAGAUGGCUUAGCAUUGGUCAGUCUCAGCUCCUCAGACUCUUGGUGUAAAUUCAACAGGGAUGGGGAUGGAAGCAUGGAGUGCUAUAUCAGGGUAGGGGAAUAAAGAUGGAGUCUCUUUUAAACGAGCCCCAGAGUAGACUAGAGGUCAAUUAGGAGAGGACCCUGCAACUCUGGAAACCCAAGGGAGGACAGCUCAUGAGCUGGGGAGGUUUAUGAGCUAAAAGGAAACUUAGCUAGCUUAAAAGGAAAAAAUGGAGAUAGCCUUCAAACAGGCUAGGGGCUGCUGACAGCAUCAAACGGGUAAGAUUGUACAUGUGGCUCAGCUCCUGGAAGCCUCGUCCAUACCCGGAGACUCUUCCCCUGGAGGAAGCCAUUUUGAACCUGGCUUUGCUCAACCUAAAGCAUUCUCACACACUAGACAGCAAGGAUAGAGAAGGAAGGUUGGACCCAGAGCAGAAGCCCAAGAUGGAAUCUGGACCCUGCCCUACCUGUUCCCUGCUUUAGCCUUUGAGCCAUAGGUCUGCCUGCCUCUCCUAGUAAACCCCUGAGCUCUAGACUGUCCUGUGUGUUCCGACUCUGGUCCCCUGUGUUGGCCAGUUCUCACGAACCUCUUAUGUUGGUGAUUGACAAGCAACUUGAGCUAAGAGGACAGAGGGACAAUAAACAUUUGGUGGCAUUGCCUGGUGCCAGGCACUCUUCUUGUUGGUAUCCUCCCUCAGGAAGCUCACAGUGUGUCCACACACAGAGGGAGAACACCCACAGUCCACUUGGCAAGGCUCACUGGCCUCUUCCCAGCCUGAACUGGCUUCUGCGGCUGCUGAAUGAUGCUCGCAUUUGUGCUGUAUGUUCCUGCCCAGAUGGGUGUCUGAUCUUGUCCUGGCCAGUUUUUCCACAUAAGGGGACCUGGUACAGUUUUAUAGGAACCCAGUUGUUCCCUGGAGCCAGACUCUAAUGCUGCCCAGAUGCAGCAAAACAGAAGGGCCAUUCAAAAACAACCGAAACAUCAACACACUUUGAAAGCGGUCUGUUAGCACUUGUCAUGAGCACAAUAAAAAAUACAAUGGAACCAUCAGAAAGUAAGAGGUAUUCGGGCUUUAAGAACUUGGCUUUGAUGACUUAGAA